AGAAUCCUCGGGGGCAGCAGUGAGGAAUAUUGGUCAAUGGGAGAGAUCCUGAACCAGCCAAGCCGCGUGAGGGAAGACGGCCCUAUGGGUUGUAAACCUCUUUUGUCGGAGAACAAAACCCGGGACGAGUCCCGGACUGCGUGUAUCCGAAGAAAAAGCAUCGGCUAACUCCGUGCCAGCAGCCGCGGUAAUACGGAGGAUGCGAGCGUUGUCCGGGUUUAUUGGGUUUAAAGGGUGCGUAGGCGGUCCGUUAAGUCAGCGGUAAAAUUGCGGGGCUCAACCCCGUCGAGCCGUUGAAACUGGUU
RNAcentral lists this ribosomal RNA (305 nucleotides) under uncultured bacterium. RNAcentral's name for it is "bacterial SSU rRNA". It matches the Rfam family "Bacterial small subunit ribosomal RNA", at positions 333 to 638 of the family's 1533-position model. The record is from RNAcentral.